RNAcentral lists this ribosomal RNA (465 nucleotides) under uncultured bacterium. Its description in RNAcentral is "bacterial SSU rRNA". It matches the Rfam family "Bacterial small subunit ribosomal RNA", at positions 29 to 506 of the family's 1533-position model. The record is from RNAcentral.
ACGAACGCUGGCGGCGUGCUUAACACAUGCAAGUCGAACGGUGAACCGGGCUUCGGUCCGGGGAUCAGUGGCGAACGGGUGCGUAACACGUGGGCAACCUGCCCCAGACACUGGGAUAACCCCGGGAAACCGGGGCUAAUACCGGAUACUCCGCUCGGACCGCAUGGUCCGAUCGGGAAAGCUCCGACGGUCUGGGAUGGGCCCGCGGCCUAUCAGCUUGUUGGUGGGGUAACGGCCUACCAAGGCGACGACGGGUAGCUGGUCUGAGAGGACGACCAGCCACACUGGAACUGAGAUACGGUCCAGACUCCUACGGGAGGCAGCAGUGGGGAAUCUUGCACAAUGGGCGAAAGCCUGAUGCAGCGACGCCGCGUGGGGGAUGAAGGCCCUCGGGUUGUAAACCCCUUUCGGCAGGGAAGAAGCGCAAGUGACGGUACCUGCAGAAGAAGCUCCGGCUAACUACGU